Molecule: long non-coding RNA, 635 nt
Filed under: Lathyrus oleraceus (garden pea)
Lineage: Eukaryota; Viridiplantae; Streptophyta; Magnoliopsida; Fabales; Fabaceae
Description: Pisum sativum (pea) long non-coding RNA (PSAT_LNC002118)
Source: RNAcentral
UUGGAUGGGAGACACGAUUGUCGUUUGUGUGGUUAAGGAGGAAGGAGGUGAAAGUUGCUAAUGGUGUUGCAACGAUGGUGGUUUGGCGGUCGCGUUGAGUAGAUUGUAAGGGUUGUUUAGUUGGUGGUGGUGCGGCGGAUGUGGCUCUUGAUCGAGAGUGUAGAGGAUUUGGGUUUGUGGUGGAGGAAAAAGUUAUGUGAGAGGAGGGUAGUUGAUGAACAGGAAACAAAGAUGAGGGUCCUCUCUUCAAGAGCUCCCCUUUUCGUUUCUUUAUUUUUUUUCUAUUCCCUUAUUUUAUUUUCUUUUUUGGAUUUUUUUUGGAAAGAAGAAGAUGACCUUUUUCUUUCUUUUCGUUUUCUUUUUACUCAGAGAGAGAUAUUCAGGAAAGGGCUCAGGUCCUCUUUUCUUUUUUAUUUUUAUUUUCUUUUUCUUUUUCUCUUUUGCAAUGUUUUGAUAGAGAGAGUAUUUAGUAGGUAGGUGAGGGGCGAUGAAUUAUCCAGUGUAUGGAUUGGAGGAAAAAUCUACCUUUCUCUUUUUUGUUUUUCUUUGAAAGUGUCUGUAAGCCAGCGUAGUGGCGAUUUCUCUUUCUUUUUUUAUUACCGUCCUUUUAUGAGAGAGUCGUUGUAGAGGUUUUG